RNAcentral lists this transfer RNA (66 nucleotides) under Microvoluta sp. MZUR BAU00699. RNAcentral's name for it is "transfer RNA-Val". Lineage: Eukaryota; Metazoa; Mollusca; Gastropoda; Neogastropoda; Volutomitridae. The record is from RNAcentral.
AAAACAUAGUAUAAAAUAAUACAUUUCACUUACACUGAAAAUAUACUUUAAUAAUAAAGUUGUUUU